CGGAAGAGUCCGUUAAGCUCAGGAGGGAUAGCGCCGUCAUCGUUUCGAUUCACCUCCCUCGACAUCAUCAUCUUAUUAUUUCUCGGCGCUAUCCAUCCUGAGUUUCCCGGCUUCUUCUU
This 119-nucleotide microRNA precursor is filed under the name Cucumis sativus (cucumber). RNAcentral describes it as "pre miRNA MIR390". It matches the Rfam family "MIR390 microRNA precursor family". Lineage: Eukaryota; Viridiplantae; Streptophyta; Magnoliopsida; Cucurbitales; Cucurbitaceae. The record is from Rfam by way of RNAcentral.